UACGUAGGGUGCAAGCGUUGUCCGGAAUUAUUGGGCGUAAAGAGCUCGUAGGCGGUUUGUCACGUCGGAUGUGAAAACCCGGGGCUUAACCUCGGGCCUGCAUUCGAUACGGGCUGACUAGAGUUCGGUAGGGGAGACUGGAAUUCCUGGUGUAGCGGUGAAAUGCGCAGAUAUCAGGAGGAACACCGGUGGCGAAGGCGGGUCUCUGGGCCGAUACUGACGCUGAGGAGCGAAAGCGUGGGGAGCGAACAGG
Molecule: ribosomal RNA, 253 nt
Filed under: uncultured bacterium
Lineage: Bacteria
Also listed under: 1 other name
Description: partial 16S ribosomal RNA
Rfam family: Bacterial small subunit ribosomal RNA
Source: RNAcentral